RNAcentral lists this long non-coding RNA (4792 nucleotides) under Trifolium pratense (red clover). RNAcentral describes it as "long non-coding RNA (TPRA_LNC011703)". The record is from RNAcentral. Lineage: Eukaryota; Viridiplantae; Streptophyta; Magnoliopsida; Fabales; Fabaceae.
AAUAUUCUCAGAAAAUAAGUGAUUUAGGUUUUACGAUCUUUGAGUUAUUAUCAGAGGCACUAGGACUUGAUCCAUCUUACCUCAAAGAGUUGAAUUGUGCCGAAGGACACUUUAUUAUGGGUCACUACUAUCCACCAUGCCCUGAGCCUGAAUUAACUAUGGGCACUGCCAAGCAUAGUGAUUUUAACUUCAUGACAUUACUUCUACAAGACCAACUUGGUGGUCUUCAAAUUCUUCACGACGAUAAAUGGGUUAACGUUCCUCCGGUACAUGGAGCUCUUGUUGUAAACAUAGGAGAUCUUCUACAGGUAAAAUAUUACUCCCCUAUCUCUAUUUAUAGCUAGCAUUUUAUCCGCGUUAUGCCACAUGAUUGCUCCUUCAUUGAAAGUUUGCGAGUUUCAUCAAUUUCUUAUAUACUUUUUGCAGCUUAUCACUAAUGACAGGUUUGUAAGUGUUAAUCACCGAGUCUUAUCACAGAACACAGGCCCAAGAAUUUCAGUAGCAAGCUUCUUUGUGAACUCUCCUGAUCCAGAUAAAGGUGGAUCAAAGAUUUAUGGUCCUAUUAAGGAACUACUUUCAGAAGAAAACCGACCAAUCUACAAAGACGUUACUAUAAAAGAAUAUUUAGAACAUUAUUUUGCAAAAGGCCUUGAUGGAAAUUCUGCUUUGGAGCCCUUCAAGUUGUGAAUUCGACAUGUGAAUGUACUUUUGAUUCUCGUGGAGCUAGCCAUAAUCUAUCUAAAUAACAAGUCACGUUUUCCGCAAUUAGCGUGCUCUAUAUGUAUCAAGUUUCAGAGACAGAAAUAAAUGUGUUAUCUAUACUCUAUAGAUCAAUAUUAAUAUUUUAACCUUAACAGUUUUACUAGUGCUGUGAAAUAGAUUGUUAUUUGUUGGUGAAGUUGUUCUGUUUAUGAUUUGAUUGGAAAUUUUUGCUGCUUCAUUUUUGGAGAUUAUUUAUACUACAUCACACAAUUGACAUAAUCACUUAAAAAGAGUGUAACCAAAUGGUUAACGAGCUCUUCCUACGACGAAGUGUUCGGAAGAAUCCGAAUUCAAUGAAAGGUAUAAUUUUUAUCAAACUUUACUUCCCUGAAAAUCGGAGGGUUGACAUAAAAAAAAUAAAAAAAUAGAGAGUGAUAUAGUGAAUAGAAACUUCAUGAAUAUGACAUAGUUAGGGGGUAGAUAUGCAAAUAAAGUACACAUGAAAUAUGGUGCACAGUAGACAGAGCCUACUUUGUGGUCCUCCUUAUUUUCUUAGGAUAAGUCCUUCUCUGUCAGUUUGAUAAGUCUGCAUUUUGUAGGAAUCAGAAAGCACUACUAUUCUGGUGUUGUUUCCACCUGUCAAUAUGGUGGUAAAUGACACAAUCCAAUUAGAGGAAUCAACUGAUUCUACUUAUGAUAGAGAAGCUGAAAUGAAAGCUUUUGAUGAUUCGAAAGCAGGCGUCAAUGGUUUGGUGGAGUCUGGGAUAUCAAAGAUUCCAGCCAUCUUCCAUAGGAAGUUGGACAUCACCGAAAACUCAGCCGGCGAUAACUCAAAGUUGAGCAUUCCGAUCAUAGACCUCAAAGACAUACAUAAAGAUCCAGCUCUUCGUGUAGAGGUAAUUGAUAAAAUUCGAAGUGCAUGCCAUGAGUGGGGAUUUUUUCAGGUGAUUAAUCAUGGAAUUCCUGUUACUGUCUUCGAUGAAAUGAUAGAUGGGAUUCGUAAGUUUCAUGAACAAGAUGUUGAUGUAAGAAAAGAGUUUUAUACGCGUGAUUUAAAGAAAAAGGUUACGUAUUUCUCCACUGGAACGUUAUAUAGUGACCAAGCUGCUAAUUGGAGAGACACCUUUGCUUUUGUUGUUGCUCCUGAUCCAUUCGAACCAAAUGAAGUACCACCAAUAUGCAGGUAAUGAACUAAUAAUGAUUAUGACCCUUCAAUUCAUAAUCAAGUUAUGUAGAUUUCACAAUUGUUACAUUACAUGAAAAAUAUGGUCAUAAUCAUUAGUGCAUUUCAGUUAUUGAUCCUGUCCAUCCGAUUUAUUUUAACCGCUGAUGGAUUGAUUACAUACUUGCAGAGAUAUCAUGAUUGAAUAUUCACAGAAAAUACAGGAUUUGGGUUUCACAAUCUUUGAGUUAUUGUCAAGGGCACUAGGACUUGAUUCUUCUUAUCUCAAAGAGUUGAAUUGUGCCGAAGGACACUUCAUUAUGGGUCACUACUAUCCACCAUGCCCUGAACCUGAGCUAACUAUGGGUGCUACUAAGCAUACUGAUUAUAGCUUCAUGACAUUACUUCUACAAGACCAACUUGGUGGUCUUCAAAUUCUUCAUGAUGAUAAAUGGGUCAAUGUUUCUCCGGUACAUGGAGCUCUUGUUGUAAACAUAGGAGAUCUUCUACAGGUAAAAUAUUACUCCCACUAUCUAUGUUUAUAGCUAGCAAUUUAUCCGCGUUAUGCCACAUGAUUGCUCCUUCAUUGAAAGUUUGAGCUUCAUCAAUUUGUUAUAUACUGUUGCUGCAGCUUAUCACAAAUGACAGGUUUGUAAGUGUUAAUCACCGAGUCUUAUCACAGAACAUAGGACCGAGAAUUUCUGUUGCAAGCUUCUUUGUGAACUCUCCUGAUCCAGAUAAAGGUAGAUCAAAGAUUUAUGGUCCUAUUAAGGAACUGCUUUCAGAAGAAAACCCACCUAUCUACAAAGACGUUACUAUAAAAGAAUAUUUAGAACAUUUUUUUGCAAAAGGUCUUGAUGGAAAUUCUGCUUUGGAGCCUUUCAAGUUGUGAAUUCGACAUGUGAACGUACUUUUGAUUCUCGUGUAGCUAGCCAUAAUCUAUCUAAAUAACAAGUCAUGUUUUCUGCAAUUAGCGUGCUCUAUAUGUAUCAAGUUUCAGAGACUGCAAUAAAUGUAUUAUCUAUACUCUAUGGAUCACACACUAUCAUCUUUGUACAAAUUCAGAUUAAAUUGUGUAGCUUUAGAUUAUUGAUUUGCUUAGAGUUGAGAAAAAUUGCUUCAUCAACAAGCUUAGUUCAUACUUUCUUUGAGAGAGUAUGAUAGCUGUCCAUCAAAUUAAUCUUAACAACAUUAAAUUUUUAACCUUUAACAGUUAUACUAGUGCUGUGAAAUAGACUGUUAUUUGUUGGUGAAGUUGUUCUGUUGAUGAUUUGAUUGGAAAUUUUCGCUGCUACAUUUUUUGGAGAAUAUGCAUAUACGAAUUCACACAAUUGACAUGAUCACUUAAAAAGAGUGUAACCAAGUGGUUAAUGAGCUCCUCCUACGACUAAGUGUUCAGAAGAAUCCGAGUUCAAUGAAAGGUACAAUUUUUUAUCAAAUUUUAUUUACCUCGCGGCCGAACUUUCCUGAAAAUUGGAGGGGUAACAUAAAAAUAAAUAAAUAGAGAGGGUAGAUAUGCAAAUUAACUAAUAAAGUACCCAUGGAAUAUGGUGCACAGUGGACAGAGCCUACUUUGUGGUCGUCCUUUUUUUUUGUUGUUAUUUCCACAUUCAAAGUCAUCUAACUUUUGAUUCAUCUAACUUUUGAUUUGGUAAAAAGGGAGAAAAAAAUCAUAUAUAAAAAAAUUGACUAGUUGGUCAAAGUCAGGCCGACCCACACCCAUGCGACGGGUGUGCGGCAGCAUCAGAAUUCAAAAUUUUGAGAUCCUAUAAUAAUAGUUAUAUAUUUUUAAUGUUCGAAAAUAUUAGAUAUGCAUCAAUAGAUUAGUUGUGUGUUAUAAUAUUAAGAUAUGCAAAAACAGUAACACAUUUUUCUUUGGAUAAGUCUUCUCUGCAACUUGGAUAAGUCUUCUCUGCCAAUCCUAUUUUAAUUUUAUCUGCUUUAAUUCUACAUUUUGUUGGAGUCUGAAAGUACUACAAUUGUGGUGUUGCUUCCACCUCUCAAUAUGGUGGUAAAAAACACAAACCAAUUAGAGGAAGCAACUGAUUCAACUUAUGAUAGAGAAGCUGAAGUGAAAGCUUUUGAUGAUUCANNNNNNNNNNNNNNNNNNNNNNNNNNNNNNNNNNNNNNNNNNNGAUAUACAUAACAAUCCAGCUCUUUGUGUAGAGGUAAUUGAUAAAAUUCGAAGUGCAUGCCAUGAGUGGGGAUUUUUUCAGGUGGUUAAUCAUGGAAUUCCUGUUACUGUUUUGGAUGAAAUGAUUGAUGGGAUUCGUAGGUUUCAUGAACAAGAUGUUGAUGUAAGAAAAGAGUUUUAUACGCGUGAUUUAAAGAAAAAGGUUACAUAUUUCUCCACUGGAACGUUGUAUAGUGGCCAAGCUGCUAAUUGGAGAGAUACCGUUACUUUUGCUGUUGCUCCUGAUCCAUUCGAGCCAAAUGAAGUACCACCAAUAUGCAGGUAAUGAUUCUAACCCUGCAAUUCAUAAUCAAGUUAUCUAUAUUUCACAAUUGUUACAUUACAUAACAUAUGGUCAUGAUAUUAGUUCAUUUCAGUUAUAGAUUCUGUCCGACUGAUUUAUUUUCACCGCUGAUGAAUUGAUUACAUGAAGAGAUAUCAUGAUUCAAUAUUCGCAGAAAAUAAGGGAUUUGGGUUUUACAAUCUUUGAAUUAUUGUCAUGGGCACUAGGACUUGAUUCUUCUUAUCUCAAAGAGUUGAAUUGUGCCGAAGGACUCUCUAUUAUGGGUCACUACUAUCCACCAUGCCCUGAACCUGAAUUAACUAUCGGCACUACUAAGCAUAGUGAUUAUAGCUUCAUGACAUUACUUCUACAAGACCAACUUGGCGGUCUUCAAGUUCUUCAUGACGAUAAAUGGGUUAACGUUCCUCCGGUGCAUGGAGCUCUUGUUUUAAACAUAGGAGAUCUUCUUCAG